ACACAGGUGCUGCAUGGCUGUCGUCAGCUCGUGUCGUGAGAUGUUGGGUUAAGUCCGUAACGAGCGCAACCCUGUCCUUAGUUACCAGCACGUUAUGGUGGGCACUCUAAGGAGACUGCCGGUGACAAACCGGAGGAAGGUGGGGAGUGACGUCAAGUCAUCAUGGCCCUUACGGCCUGGGCUACACACGUGCUACAAUGGUCGGUACAAAGGGUUGCCAAGCCGCGAGGUGGAGCUAAUCCCAUAAAACCGAUCGUAGUCCGGAUCGCAGUCUGCAACUCGACUGCGUGAAGUCGGAAUCGCUAGUAAUCGUGAAUCAGAAUGUCACGGUGAAUACGUUCCCGGGCCUU
Molecule: ribosomal RNA, 350 nt
Filed under: uncultured Pseudomonas sp.
Lineage: Bacteria; Pseudomonadati; Pseudomonadota; Gammaproteobacteria; Pseudomonadales; Pseudomonadaceae
Description: bacterial SSU rRNA
Rfam family: Bacterial small subunit ribosomal RNA
Source: RNAcentral